Molecule: ribosomal RNA, 184 nt
Filed under: uncultured archaeon
Lineage: Archaea
Description: partial 16S ribosomal RNA
Rfam family: Archaeal small subunit ribosomal RNA
Source: RNAcentral
GCGGUAAUACCAGCUCCUCGAGUGGUAGGGAUGAUUAUUGGGCUUAAAGCGUUCGUAGCCGGCCCGGUAAGUCCUCCGUUAAAUCCAGCGAUUUAAUCGCUGGGCCGCGGAAGAUACUGCCGAGCUAGGGGGCGGAAGAGGCCGACGGUAUUCUCGGGGUAGGGGUGAAAUCCUAUAAUCCUGA